GGUUAAGCGACUAAGCGUACACGGUGGAUGCCCUGGCAGUCAGAGGCGAUGAAGGGCGUGCUAAUCUGCGAUAAGCGCCGGUAAGGUGAUAUGAACCGUUAUAACCGGCGAUACCCGAAUGGGGAAACCCAGUGUGAUUCGUCACACUAUCAUUAACUGAAUCCAUAGGUUAAUGAGGCGAACCGGGGGAACUGAAACAUCUAAGUACCCCGAGGAAAAGAAAUCAACCGAGAUUCCCCCAGUAGCGGCGAGCGAACGGGGAGGAGCCCAGAGCCUGAAUCAGCAUGUGUGUUAGUGGAAGCGUCUGGAAAGGCGCGCGAUACAGGGUGACAGCCCCGUACACAAAAGCGCAUGUGCUGUGAGCUCGAUGAGUAGGGCGGGACACGUGGUAUCCUGUCUGAAUAUGGGGGGACCAUCCUCCAAGGCUAAAUACUCCUGACUGACCGAUAGUGAACCAGUACCGUGAGGGAAAGGCGAAAAGAACCCCGGCGAGGGGAGUGAAAAAGAACCUGAAACCGUGUACGUACAAGCAGUGGGAGCACCCUUCGGGGUGUGACUGCGUACCUUUUGUAUAAUGGGUCAGCGACUUAUAUUCUGUAGCAAGGUUAACCGAAUAGGGGAGCCGGAGGGAAACCGAGUCUUAAUUGGGCGUUAAGUUGCAGGGUAUAGACCCGAAACCCGGUGAUCUAGCCAUGGGCAGGUUGAAGGUUGGGUAACACUAACUGGAGGACCGAACCGACUAAUGUUGAAAAAUUAGCGGAUGACCUGUGGCUGGGGGUGAAAGGCCAAUCAAACCGGGAGAUAGCUGGUUCUCCCCGAAAGCUAUUUAGGUAGCGCCUCGUGAAUUCAUCUCCGGGGGUAGAGCACUGUUUCGGCUAGGGGGCCAUCCCGGCUUACCAACCCGAUGCAAACUGCGAAUACCGGAGAAUGUUAUCACGGGAGACACACGGCGGGUGCUAACGUCCGUCGUGAAGAGGGAAACAACCCAGACCGCCAGCUAAGGUCCCAAAGUCAUGGUUAAGUGGGAAACGAUGUGGGAAGGCCCAGACAGCCAGGAUGUUGGCUUAGAAGCAGCCAUCAUUUAAAGAAAGCGUAAUAGCUCACUGGUCGAGUCGGCCUGCGCGGAAGAUGUAACGGGGCUAAACCAUGCACCGAAGCUGCGGCAGCGAACGUAUCACCCAAGACAACUUUACGGAGUUGACGAUUGACGGAGCGAAGCGACGUCAAAGCGUUCAUUAAAGUCGAGUUGGCUUAGGGAUACGUUCGUUGGGUAGGGGAGCGUUCUGUAAGCCUGUGAAGGUGUGUCGUGAGGCAUGCUGGAGGUAUCAGAAGUGCGAAUGCUGACAUAAGUAACGAUAAAGCGGGUGAAAAGCCCGCUCGCCGGAAGACCAAGGGUUCCUGUCCAACGUUAAUCGGGGCAGGGUGAGUCGACCCCUAAGGCGAGGCCGAAAGGCGUAGUCGAUGGGAAACGGGUUAAUAUUCCCGUACUUGGUGUUACUGCGAAGGGGGGACGGAGAAGGCUAUGUUGGCCGGGCGACGGUUGUCCCGGUUUAAGCGUGUAGGUGUGUGUUCCAGGUAAAUCCGGUUCACUUUAACACUGAGGCGUGACGACGAGGCACUACGGUGCUGAAGCAACAAAUGCCCUGCUUCCAGGAAAAGCCUCUAAGCAUCAGGUAACACGAAAUCGUACCCCAAACCGACACAGGUGGUCAGGUAGAGAAUACCAAGGCGCUUGAGAGAACUCGGGUGAAGGAACUAGGCAAAAUGGUGCCGUAACUUCGGGAGAAGGCACGCUGACACGUAGGUGAAGUGAUUUACUCACGGAGCUGAAGUCAGUCGAAGAUACCAGCUGGCUGCAACUGUUUAUUAAAAACACAGCACUGUGCAAACACGAAAGUGGACGUAUACGGUGUGACGCCUGCCCGGUGCCGGAAGGUUAAUUGAUGGGGUCAGCGUAAGCGAAGCUCCUGAUCGAAGCCCCGGUAAACGGCGGCCGUAACUAUAACGGUCCUAAGGUAGCGAAAUUCCUUGUCGGGUAAGUUCCGACCUGCACGAAUGGCGUAAUGAUGGCCAGGCUGUCUCCACCCGAGACUCAGUGAAAUUGAACUCGCUGUGAAGAUGCAGUGUACCCGCGGCAAGACGGAAAGACCCCGUGAACCUUUACUAUAGCUUGACACUGAACAUUGAGCCUUGAUGUGUAGGAUAGGUGGGAGGCUUUGAAGUGUGGACGCCAGUCUGCAUGGAGCCGACCUUGAAAUACCACCCUUUAAUGUUUGAUGUUCUAACGUGGACCCGUAAUCCGGGUUGCGGACAGUGUCUGGUGGGUAGUUUGACUGGGGCGGUCUCCUCCUAAAGAGUAACGGAGGAGCACGAAGGUUGGCUAAUCCUGGUCGGACAUCAGGAGGUUAGUGCAAUGGCAUAAGCCAGCUUGACUGCGAGCGUGACGGCGCGAGCAGGUGCGAAAGCAGGUCAUAGUGAUCCGGUGGUUCUGAAUGGAAGGGCCAUCGCUCAACGGAUAAAAGGUACUCCGGGGAUAACAGGCUGAUACCGCCCAAGAGUUCAUAUCGACGGCGGUGUUUGGCACCUCGAUGUCGGCUCAUCACAUCCUGGGGCUGAAGUAGGUCCCAAGGGUAUGGCUGUUCGCCAUUUAAAGUGGUACGCGAGCUGGGUUUAGAACGUCGUGAGACAGUUCGGUCCCUAUCUGCCGUGGGCGCUGGAGAACUGAGGGGGGCUGCUCCUAGUACGAGAGGACCGGAGUGGACGCAUCACUGGUGUUCGGGUUGUCAUGCCAAUGGCACUGCCCGGUAGCUAAAUGCGGAAGAGAUAAGUGCUGAAAGCAUCUAAGCACGAAACUUGCCCCGAGAUGAGUUCUCCCUGAGACUUAGAGUCUCCUGAAGGAACGUUGAAGACGACGACGUUGAUAGGCCGGGUGUGUAAGCGCAGCGAUGCGUUGAGCUAACCGGUACUAAUGAACCGUGAGGCUUAACCUU
RNAcentral lists this ribosomal RNA (2990 nucleotides) under Salmonella enterica subsp. enterica serovar Typhimurium. RNAcentral's name for it is "23S ribosomal RNA". It matches the Rfam family "Bacterial large subunit ribosomal RNA". The record is from RNAcentral. Lineage: Bacteria; Pseudomonadati; Pseudomonadota; Gammaproteobacteria; Enterobacterales; Enterobacteriaceae.